CUCAUCAACAUUAAGAGGUCAUGUACACUGUGGUCAACUUGUGGACGCUGAAGAGGUUUCUGGAGAAAUAUAAUGAAGUAACAGUGGAAGCUAAAACAUCAAACUGAUCCAGACACUGAAGAAAUUGAUGUCACUGCAAUCUGGCCAAAAUGAUACAACUAUAUUGAAGUAGCCUACUGUAAUGAAGCUGCAGAACGUCACAGAGACUCUGAGGACAUCAACACAGAAUAUCAAGGCUCCCAAGAGAUGUCUGUCCAGAUGAGGGUGCAUCAACGUUACCUUUGCUGACAAGUAUAUGCUUUACAAUGUAAAACCUAACAGUUAACUUAACUCAAACCAUUUAAGGAAAUUGGUUGCCUUAAAUCAUUAAGUUUUAAAAAAACAUACAUUUGAGUACUGUGAACUUAAGUCUUGUGCAAUUAUGCACUUAUAUUUAGGUAGUGUGAACUUAAAUAUAAGUGCUUAACUGCAUGUGACUCAAUUUGUUUAAGUUCACAGUACUCAAAUCUAUGUGUUUUAAAACUUGAAUGGUUUAAUGCAACCGGUUUUCUUAAAUGUGAGAAAUUACAGUGUUACAGUGAGAAAUGUUUGAAUAAUUCCAAGACAGAGCUCUGUGAUUGAUUCUACACUGCAAAAAUCACUUUCUAACACUUUUUAUCUUGUUUUCAGUAGAAAAACUAAAAAUUCUUAAAUCAAGAUGUAUUUUCUUGAUGAGCAAAAUUACCUUAGAAAAUAUGUCUAGUUUUUAGACAAAAAUAUACAAUUUAAGAUAAUUUGUGCCUAAACAAGCAAAAAUAUCUAACAAUGGGGUGAGAAAAUUGUGUUUUAAUUAAGUUUUUAAGAAAAAAGAAAACUUAAGAUUUUUUUCUCACACUAUUGGCAGAUAUUUUUGCUUGUUUUAAGUACAAAUUCACUUAAUACACAGACACACACACAUUAUUUAUUUGGUCUAAAACUAGACUUAUUUUCUUGGGUCAUUUUGUUCCUCAAGAAAAAGCAUUUUAAUUUAAAUAAUAUUUCUACAGAAAACAAGACAAAAAUACUAUGUAAGAAAGUCAUUUUUUGCAGUGUAGGACUAAUUUCUUUAGAUUAUUUAGAUAUUUACUACAUUACAGUGGCAGCUGGUGACUUCUUUUUUUUGUGAGCACUCAAUGCGAAGUUUGUCACAACAUGUAUAUAGCCCGUCAUUUGUGUGGUUCCCAAUUUCAAAAUAUGUGUUCUGUGUGUCGAGUGCGUGUAUGUGCAUCACGUGUUUUGACUAAACACGUGAUGCACGUGGUUUACAUGAAGCAACAAACACAUAUUUUAAAAACACAAGCAACACGCGUGACACUCUGAACACUUAUUUUGAAUUUGCAACCCUCGGAUGAGCAGUCACGAGCAGCCACUGCUACAUUACAUUGUACUGCUUUGAAUGUAGUUUUCAUUGUUGCUUUUAUUUUGUUUUAUUUUACUCUAAUAUUGCUUUCUCUGUCUGUAUAUUUAUGAGUUUAAAUGGUAUUGUUUAUGUAUGCAACUUUUAAUAUUUGUGUAUUAUAUUAUUUUGUGAUUGUGACAAUUGUGGAUUGUUCAGUUUUUUAUUAAAUAAACAUUUCAAACUCAA
Misgurnus anguillicaudatus (oriental weatherfish) is the source of this 1603-nucleotide non-coding RNA. The record is from RefSeq and is a predicted model, not a curated record. Lineage: Eukaryota; Metazoa; Chordata; Actinopteri; Cypriniformes; Cobitidae.